RNAcentral lists this small RNA (136 nucleotides) under Marininema halotolerans. RNAcentral's name for it is "c-di-AMP sequence". It matches the Rfam family "c-di-AMP riboswitch aptamer (ydaO/yuaA leader)". Rfam says of the family: This family represents a conserved RNA structure found upstream of the ydaO and yuaA genes in Bacillus subtilis and related genes in other bacteria. The ydaO/yuaA element is thought to act as a genetic "off" switch for the ydaO and yuaA genes in its native state. Lineage: Bacteria; Bacillati; Bacillota; Bacilli; Caryophanales; Thermoactinomycetaceae. The record is from RNAcentral.
UCCAUUCAAUCGCCAAAUCUGUAAAGAGCGGGGGACCCGAUAAAUAGGGGUGAAUUCUGCAGGAUGAUGCAGAUAGGGAAGAACUCUUCCAAACCCGAACCCGUCAGCUAACCCCGUAGGCGUUGAUAGAGGAGUG